GGAAUAUAAGAACUCGUCUCUUAAUUUUUAACUAAAAAAACUAAGAACCGGCUCUUAAAUAAGAGUUUUAAGAGACGGUUCUUAGUUUUUUUAGUUAAAAGUUAAGAGAUUGGUUCUUAUAUUCC
Brassica napus (rape) is the source of this 125-nucleotide non-coding RNA. Lineage: Eukaryota; Viridiplantae; Streptophyta; Magnoliopsida; Brassicales; Brassicaceae. The record is from Rfam.